Molecule: long non-coding RNA, 587 nt
Organism: Pelmatolapia mariae (spotted tilapia)
Lineage: Eukaryota; Metazoa; Chordata; Actinopteri; Cichliformes; Cichlidae
Exons: 3
Source: RefSeq, a predicted model, not a curated record
AAAAUGCUCCGACGUUUUCAUGCUUUGUGGCAGCUUUAGAACAUCUGUGGCAUCUAUUAAUGUCAAAUCUAGCCUUUAUUUAACAUCAUAAGCAAACUCUAUGUUACAAUGAUUGCACAGCCAUUAAGGAUCAAAUCAGUUUCUGAAAAAUGUUCUGUUUUUUCUCCCUCUGCUUGCUUCUUUCUGUCUUUGAGGCUCGGGACCAGCACUCCUGCUGUUGGACAGAAAGACAUCAACUCAGUGACUUGAGAUAUGACUGCACUAUGCUGUUGCUGGUGACUCCAGUUAAUUCUACAAGACAUGCUGUGACAACAGGAGAGAUGAGUCCUCCAUCACAGAUGGUCAGUGAAGGUGGUCACCUGCAGGUUCAAGCUCAUUGCAUCUCCAACCCACAUCCACUGCCACUGUACUUAAGGGAAGUUAAAGACUUUCUUCUGCACCUACAUUUGAAUCACCUCGAUCCAUGACAGUCAUUCAGGCAGUAAUGCCUGGACUGGAAACAAGCCAUCCUUAAAAUAAUACAACAUUCCAGCUCCUGUGUUGGAAUGAAAAACAAAUGUGUUGUUUAAAUUAGAGACUGCACUUGU